UGGGGAAUUUUGGACAAUGGGCGAAAGCCUGAUCCAGCCAUGCCGCGUGAGUGAAGAAGGCCUUCGGGUUGUAAAGCUCUUUUAGUCGGAAGGAAAGAGUUGCAAUGAAUAAUUGUGAUUUAUGACGGUACCGACAGAAAAAGCACCGGCUAACUACGUGCCAGCAGCCGCGGUAAUACGUAGGGUGCGAGCGUUAAUCGGAAUUACUGGGCGUAAAGGGUGCGCAGGCGGUCUUGCAAGUCAGAUGUGAAAGCCCCGGGCUUAACCUGGGAAUUGCGUUUGAAACUACAAGACUAGAGUGCAGCAGAGGGGAGUGGAAUUCCAUGUGUAGCAGUGAAAUGCGUAGAGAUGUGGAAGAACACCGAUGGCGAAGGCGGCUCCCUGGGUUGACACUGACGCUCAUGCACGAAAGCGUGGGGAGCAAACA
This 427-nucleotide ribosomal RNA is filed under the name uncultured beta proteobacterium. Its description in RNAcentral is "bacterial SSU rRNA". It matches the Rfam family "Bacterial small subunit ribosomal RNA", at positions 355 to 774 of the family's 1533-position model. The record is from RNAcentral. Lineage: Bacteria; Pseudomonadati; Pseudomonadota; Betaproteobacteria.